GACGAACGCUGGCGGCGUGCUUAGCACAUGCAAGUCGAACGGAAAGGCCCUGCUUUUGUGGGGUGCUCGAGUGGCGAACGGGUGAGUAACACGUGAGUAACCUGCCCUUGACUUUGGGAUAACUUCAGGAAACUGGGGCUAAUACCGGAUAGGAGCUCCUGCUGCAUGGUGGGGGUUGGAAAGUUUCGGCGGUUGGGGAUGGACUCGCGGCUUAUCAGCUUGUUGGUGGGGUAGUGGCUUACCAAGGCUUUGACGGGUAGCCGGCCUGAGAGGGUGACCGGCCACAUUGGGACUGAGAUACGGCCCAGACUCCUACGGGAGGCAGCUGUGGGGAAUAUUGCACAAUGGGCGGAAGCCUGAUGCAGCAACGCCGCGUGCGGGAUGACGGCCUUCGGGUUGUAAACCGCUUUCGCCUGUGACGAAGCGUGAGUGACGGUAAUGGGUAAAGAAGCACCGGCUAACUACGUG
Molecule: ribosomal RNA, 468 nt
Filed under: uncultured bacterium
Lineage: Bacteria
Description: partial 16S ribosomal RNA
Rfam family: Bacterial small subunit ribosomal RNA
Source: RNAcentral